Molecule: ribosomal RNA, 247 nt
Filed under: uncultured bacterium
Lineage: Bacteria
Description: partial 16S ribosomal RNA
Rfam family: Bacterial small subunit ribosomal RNA
Source: RNAcentral
AUACGAAGGGGGCUAGCGUUGCUCGGAAUGACUGGGCGUAAAGGGCGUGUAGGCGGUUGAUACAGUCAGAUGUGAAAUCCCCGGGCUUAACCUGGGAGCUGCAUUUGGGACGUAUUGACUAGAGUGUGAGAGAGGGUUGUGGAAUUCCCAGUGUAGAGGUGAAAUUCGUAGAUAUUGGGAAGAACACCGGUGGCGAAGGCGGCAACCUGACUCAUUACUGACGCUGAGGCGCGAAAGCGUGGGGAGC